RNAcentral lists this long non-coding RNA (1365 nucleotides) under Homo sapiens (human). RNAcentral's name for it is "HSALNT0001932". The record is from RNAcentral. Lineage: Eukaryota; Metazoa; Chordata; Mammalia; Primates; Hominidae.
AUAGUUUGCUGAGAAUGAUGGUUUCCAGCUUCAUCCAUGUCCCUACAAAGGACAUGAACUCAUCAUUUUUUAUGGCUGCAUAGUAUUCCAUGUUGUAUAUGUGCCACAUUUUCUUAAUUCAGUCUAUCAUUGUUGGACAUUUGGGUUGGUUCCAAGUCUUUGCUAUUGUGAAUAGUGCUGCAAUAAACAUACGUGUGCAUGUGUCUUUAUAGCAGCACAGUGAGAUACCAUCUCACACCAGUUAGAAUGGCGAUCAUUAAAAAGUCAGGAAACAACAGGUGCUGGAGAGGAUGUGGAGAAAUAGGAACACUUUUACACUGUUGGUGGGACUGUAAACUAGUUCAACCAUUAUGGAAGUCAGUGUGGUGAUUCCUCAGGGAUCUAGAACUAGAAAUACCAUUUGACCCAGCAAUCCCAUUACUGGCUAUAUACCCAAAGGAUUAUAAAUCAUUGAAAGGUUUUAAACAGGAAGUGGGAGACAAUGUGUUUAAAUAAGUAUUUUAGGCCAGGCGCAGUGGCUCAUGCCUGUAAUCCCAGCACUUUGAGAGGCCGAGCAGAAGUACUGCAAGCAGCUUGGGCAACCAGGCGAGCAGUGGUGCCAUUAAGGUAGAAGAAGGGUUGUUUGUUUGGAGUGAGGUUGGAGUCUGAUAAGUUCCCUUUUGAAGUGCUGUUCGAGCAGCCUGUGGAAACUUCCAGGGGGUGCUGUUCCAUGGGCUCCUGGGUGUCCAGGCAAGAGGUCAAGGAGGACCCAGAUCAAUAUUUGGGAAUAAAAUGAGGAGUAAAUAUUGAAGAUUAAGCAUAUGGCUGAGAUUAGUGGUUGUCAAAGAGAUGUGCUCAUUAGAGCUUAGGAUCCUGUGAAGAAGCUUCAGAAGCCAGCAACAGGAACCGAGAGGGGGUGUGGACACCCUUCCCAUCCCUAUUUCUACCAGUGAAGAGCACCAGGAUUCAGUUAACAGUUCCACUAGUUCCGCUUCUAAACAAAGAGUUUAAAAUGGAUCGAUGCCCAAAUGGAUGGAUGGAUGGAUGACAGGUGGAUGGAAGGAUGAACGAAUGCACAGAUGGACAGAUGGGUGGACAGACAAAGGAAUAAAUAAAGUGGACCCACUGGACAGAGAAGACUUUGGUUCAAAAGGCUCAUAAGGUGCCCCAGGCACCCUAACCCCCAACCAGGUGUACCCCAUAAGAUUACAGGAUUGCCUUCCGAUUGUCCCUCCCUGAUAGGGAUGAAAAUUCUGCCAAAAUGUCUUCCUUGGGUAAUGUUUGUUCAGGAGUUAAUUGGGCAAUUCAGAGACUCCAAUCGGGAAACACAGGGCCUGCUGCCAGAUGACCUUGAGAGAAGCAAGAGCCAAGUCCCUGGACCCUGAU